RNAcentral lists this ribosomal RNA (127 nucleotides) under Drancourtella massiliensis. Its description in RNAcentral is "partial 23S ribosomal RNA". It matches the Rfam family "Bacterial large subunit ribosomal RNA", at positions 1 to 125 of the family's 2925-position model. Lineage: Bacteria; Bacillati; Bacillota; Clostridia; Eubacteriales; Oscillospiraceae. The record is from RNAcentral.
UUGGUUAUGCUAGAAAGAGCGCAGGGUGGAUGCCUUGGCACUAAGAGCCGAUGAAAGACGUGAUAAGCUGCGAAAAGCUUCGGGGAGGAGCAAAUAUCCAUUGAUCCGGAGAUUUCUGAAUGGGGAA